GGACGCGCGUUCCCGGCCGGGCCCCCCGGGCCCCGCAGCCCCGGGAGCAGCCGCCGCCUCCGGCCGGGCCCGGGGCGAGCCUGGCGGGGCUGGGGCCUCCCCGGGCCGGGCCGGGGAAGGGGCCGGGAGGGCCGGGCCGGGAGCGGCUCCUGCUCCCGCAGGGGGGACGUUCCAGCCGCUCCUGCUGGUCCCGGCGCGGGGGGGUUCGCAGCGCCCGGAGCGCGGGGGGGCCGGGCUGCGCUGCCUCCCCCUCGGCUGCCGCCGCGGUCGUGCCCGGGCCGGGCCGGGUUCUCAUCCCGGUGCCGCUGCUGGUUCCACGCAGCGGGGAGCCCCGAGAUGCGGGCUCGGGCAUCGAGCCGUGGGGACCCUCGUGCUGCCCGUUGUGGUUCGGAAAGCGGCGAUGGUCGUGACCGCCCCGUCCGGGAACCGCCGCUGCCCGAGGUGUUGGGAUUCUCACUGGGGAGACCACUCAGCAGGAGGACAGAGUCCUGGGACACCCGUUCCCUGCUCAGAGGGCCACUCUGCUGAGAUCUUCACCUAUGGAGAAACACAACCAAGUUCAUCAGGAUCUUUUUCUGACUUCAGUUUUAUUCCAACAGCUGCACUGAACAAACAGUCAAAACACAAAAGGGGGCAUUUACAAAGCAGCUGUAUCCAACAAACACUUAACACUUCCUACACUUCUUUGGGGGGCUGACACCUGUGCCAGCUCCUCAGCUGGAGGAGGCAGCGCCCGUUUUUCCUGUCUCAGGGGGAAGGAGAAAGGAUGUUUCAGGGCCUUUUCCAUCAGGUCAAUCAGGUUCUCAUGCUCAGCAUCACGGCUGGUCAGGAAUGCCUUUGUGAAGAGCAGAACAGAAGAUGUUUUUGGAAUGGUGUGGCUGCAUGUAAAGGUCUCUCCCCAACAGCCUCUUCCCUCUUCCUCUGACCUUCAGGGCCUCACAGCUCCAGAGACGUGUCUCCCAGCAGAGCUGUGUUCGUCCCAAUCCAGCCAGCCCUGCUGGAAACACCUGCGUUUCAGAAACCAAACAGACCAGGGUGUGUUACUCAAAGGUGCUGUUUGGUCCCUGCACUAGGGGUAGUUUAUCAGGAUGUUGGUCCACACCUCGGGAACUGAGCUGGGAAGGUUCCACAAGAGUGGGCAGCUUGUGAAAUAGAGCAAGGGGGUGAAUGUGAAUGGAUGAAACUUUUGUUUUUAAUUUUCCGUUACACCAAAUCUGAAAGGAUUUCCAUUAAACUCUACCAGUCCAUGUACAGAGAGAUGGAAUUACCAGCUGGUCUUGAUCAUGUGUCUUGGCAAAGGCCCCAGGAUUCGCUCCAUCAUGGCCAGGUGUUCUUUGUCUCCACAGGCCUGCAGGGGAACCAAGAGGGACCUUGUUCAUUGCCAGAGGAAGUUACCAAGAGCCACACAUUGACCUUACUUCAGGUUUGACUGUGCCCUGCAACCAGGGAUCCAUUUCAGAUUAAGCAAAAAGGAGAGGCUGCAGUCAUCUCUUUCCUGGAAUAAGAUACAAUCUACUGGAGGUUUUUUCCCUUGACCAGGCCUUCUAUAUUUUUUUUUUUGUUCCUGGUUCAUAAAUGUCAAGUUUCAGCAGUGCUGUCAAGUUGACAGAAUUUGGGUAGUUGAGCAGUAUUUGCUGCUGCUGACAGAUGAAGCUCCAUCUGUUACUAGUGUGGCUUGUAAAUUACAAAUGUGAACGGGCUCACCCUUCGUGCCAGGCUGGCUGGUUCCCAGUUGCCUACCGGAAAGCCUGGGGACCCAAGGCAGUACUCCAGGAGAACACAUCCUGUUCUCCAGACAUCACAGGGCUGUCACCAUCCCAGGGCUGUGAAAAGACCCAGAAGGGUCACGUUUAUACCAGGCUGCAAACAGGUCAACAGUUCAAGCAAGAUGUGCCAGGCUUCUGCAGCACCCUUCAGUAGCCACCAGGAAUCUUGGGCCAAAGCUGUGCCCAACAGAGUCCUACUGACCUAGGAUCACCUCAGGAGCUCUGUAGGGUCUUGUGGUCACCACCAUGCUGUGAUGUUCGUGAUCACGUGUGGUGCUCCCAGAGUCCCCAACCUUGACAUCUGGACGUUUGGGUCUGUGCUCCUCACGCUCCUGCAAUGAAGCAAUGGGAUGCAGUGCCCAAAGAAAGCCAGAGGGUGGCUGAGGGGAGGUGGGGAAGAGGGCAGCAACUUCUCAGGCUGUGGCUGUGCUCCACUGCAUAGUCAGAUGGCACCAGUAAAAUGUUGUCUGGCUUCAGGUCUGUGUGUGUCAACUUGUUGACGUGCAAAACUGCAAGAUACCAACACUAGUUAGCAAAUGCCAGAGAGAUGACACAAACCAAGCAGCAAAGAAAGAUACAGUUCACAGCCUUGCAGGUCUGAUAGGCCAUCUGUCUGAUGCGGCCCAGCCUGAAGGCCAGGAAGCCAUUCUCUUUGAUAGAGGUGCUGAGCCCCAGCAGCUCCACAGCAGAGCAGACGUGGCCACGGCGCUCGAACCAGCCGAGCAUCUGGACACGGUGGCUGCAGGAGCAGGGAACACAGGAGCUGCAGCAGGCAGUUGUGUCGCUCCACACGUUGUGUGUUCCCAAAACCACCUCACAGGAACCUUAAAGCCAGAGCCCAGGACGGUGGCUUCAUGUCCUCACUCUGUGCUGCUGGGGUGCAGGGCAUGUGAAUAGUGCAGGGCUUGUACUUCUGCAAGGGCUGCCCCGCAGCUCCCAUCAGCCUCUUUCACUAUUUUCACAGCCACGUGGCUGCCUCUCCUGGAAAGACAGGUUUUUCACUGGGCUUAGCACAAGGAGGAGUUUUACCUAAGAAUCUGGAGGAGUUAUCACCCCCUACAUUGCUGGUGCCAAUGGGAUCCUUAUCAGAAAAGGUCUCCACGUGAAGAUGAACCCGAUGAGAUCAGGAAGCGCUUCCCGAGCCGCACGGUGAGAGCAUCAGCCGGAGCAACGGCCUGUGGCUGCUGAGGAAGACUUGCUCCUUGUGCUCGGUGCAUUCCACAACUUGUCCAAAAGUCCCCUCACCCAAAGUAGCACAACCUCAUCUAGAAAGAAAAGAACUGAGUCACACAAGCUGUGGAGUUCCUCAGAGAAGCCAACACACAAGAAUGGAACAAACAAACGGAACGACUGGAUUCGUCUCGACGGGGCCUCGUUACAUGGAAACUCUCCAGCUGGAGAGAUGUGAUGGGACAACUCUCAUCAGGGCACAUUUAAGGGAUCUCACUCCAGUUGGUUCAUUAACUUCAUUUACUGGUUUUUGGGGGGAACGGAGGAAAAGAAAGAAGAAAUGUAGAGAAAAAGAAUAACAAUCCCCACCCCCAAAGACAGAAAGUCCAGACAGAAUGAAAAGGCUUGCAAAGGCCACCCCCAUCUUAUGCUAGAAGAACUUAUUCUAUCUGAAAAGUUACUAAUAAAAUGCUGUGCAUCCUGCACAGAGGACGUCUCCAGUCUGACAGAUGGGGUGACCCCAGGGGUCUUCCUCCACGCUGCUGGAUCUGCUCCUUGGAGGACUCGUUGGGAUCAUCUAGGCCAUCCACAAACCCGAGUGCAUUCAGGUCAGAGCAGGAAUUCAGUCGGCAGGGAGAGGCUCAGGCAUCCAGGUCCAGACCAGGCCACAAAGUGUUGGCAGGAGCCACCGUCAAGUUCAGUCCCUGGAAAUUCACAGGGCACAGUGUUUGUUACAGCAGGAAACUUGGCACGAGGCAGAUUUUCAGGUGAGAUCCUCAAGGUGGCAAGGCAACACAAGAUGACAACACACUUGCUUUUCUUUGACAAGAUUGGGUCACUGAAUUCUACUUUGGGAUCUUGGUUGUCAUGGUCAUUGUCAUCACAGAAAUUGUGAAGGCAAGAAAGUGCUGCCUGCAUGUCAAGUGCUCCAGAUAAUGGUGAUUAUUCAUUGACCUGCUCCCAUGGAGCCAAUGAACAAGGAGCCAGUCCAUGUUCUGUGGCAGCACAAGCCCACCUACAAACAACACUUUUUCAUGGAAGGAAAUCAAAUCCUAAAUGGAAAUGGAUCACACCAGCUGUGAGUGAUGAUGGUGACAGGUCUUGUCUUUCCUUUUGGAGCUACUCACCCCCUGCUGAGCCAACAAGUUGCUGCUGUGAGGCCCAGCAGCCCAUCCUGGAUGGUUCUUGGAUUCUGAAGAGGAGCUGCAGGCCAAGGAUCACAUCCAUUUCAUUAAAAUAGUUCUGGUUCCCCUAUCAAGACAGCUUUUUGGUUUAAGCUGCAAGACAUCUCUCAUGAAAGAUCUCCUACUCAAAACCAGCUGCAUUAUUAGAUGAUGAGAAGAAGAAAUUCUCAGUGUUUGAGGCACCGUCCCUGGAGGGAUUUAACAGACGUGUCCAUGUGGUACCUGGGGCGGUUUAGUGGGGGCUUGGCAGGUGCUGGGUUAAUGGUUGCACUUGAUGAUCUUACAGGUCUUUUCCAGCCAAAACGAGUCUGUGAUUCCAUGAUGCUAUGGACUUGCUGCUAUCAGAAGUCAGGAAGGCUUCACCUGUCGGGAAGUUGAGAACAGCCAGGUCUGCAGUGCUCGUUCUCCUGUGCGCUGCCUGGCGAUGUCCUCCUUCUCUUCUGGGCACCCUGGCACCUGCUGGGAUGGGGGGUUUCUUCUGAGCCCGUUGGAAAGAACGGAUUGGCCUGGAAUGCUGCAUCUGUACCAAAGAGAUUCUACUCUUUGAAUUACAUCCCAUAGACGCCCAGUUCCCUCAGAGCCAUGAAUUAACAAAUUAAUGCUCUAAUGGAGAUUGUCUUUCCUCCCCUACCCCAUUUUCAUGUUUUCUCUCUCUUUCCUCCAUGAUAUUUUUUAACUCGAGCUUUUUUCAAAGUCACCAUUUUUGGUGGGGAGAUGAAGCCAAUAACCUGCUUGUGCCCAAAGCCUUGGAGCAGAGUCCUGUGGCUCAGCCCGCAGGCACGUGCUGUGUGUGUUCUUUCUGCAGAGCUGCUGGGGCACCCAGUGCUGCACGUGCUGGGAAAGGACACGCAGGGAUUGCCCGGUGGGCUGGUAACGACCUUGAGGACCUUGUCAUCAGCUGUGACCAUGCUGCUUUCUGCCCCUUCCCAGGGAAUUCCACAUGUCCAGCCACUGUGUCAAUAAACCUGGGUCAUCUCCUCGUUACUGCACUCAGAGGGAGCACAAAGCCACUUGCCACACAUGUCCUUCACAUCCCUUCCUAAUGGCCAAGAACUGCCAAGAACUUUGGAAGACGAGGAAUGUGACACUGAACAAAGCAAACAAAUAAAUUCUAACCCUGCUUUGAGAAUGACUGCCAGGAGAUUGCUUUUGUUGGUGAGACUCAGAGUUGCUCAGUCAUCAUGUAAAACAAACCACCUAAAUGCAGCUGUGGAGAACAGCCUGUCUUCUCCCCCCACAUAAGAUAACAAGACUAAAGAACACUUCAAGGAAGUGCACAGAUCAGUCUUCUAUCCCCACAGAAUGCGAAAACAAGCCCCAGCCCUCCAGCAAAACUCACCCUUGCUCCCUCUGCUGCUCCCUGCUGCUGCACAGGGACAGUUGAAGUCACGGCCACCACUCUCACCUCCCUCUCCUCGUGCCUUCCUGCAGCCCUUCAGCCACCACCUCUCUCCAAAGGAGCUUCCAGCAACUCAGGUGUCUGUUGGUCAUCGGCUCAGGAGAACAAACCCAGCCUCACGCCUGAAACGUGGCUCUCCAAGUGACACACACUGCACAAGUGUGACCGUGUGGCAGUGGAAGGGCUCAGGGGCGUCACAUCAUGUUCACAGCCCCAUCGAGUGGUUGGGGUUGGAAUAAUGGAAUCAUGGAAGGGACCACUAGGGUCCAGGGGACCAUCUAGUCCAAGCCCGAGUCAUCCAUAAGGAGGAGAACAUGGGCAAAGCACUGAGCUGGACAGGCUGUCCAUAGUGGAGCUGCACUUGCUUGGGAAGGGCCAGGAGGAGGUUGGUCAACUUGAGGUUUGCUACGUGCCCCAGAGGUCGGACUAUGACUUGAUAAGAAUUAACCAAGACACUGAAGUUCAAGCAGCUUUCUAAGAGCUCCCUUGGAAAGGGGGAUGGCAGCACCACAUCCAGGAAUGGGCCUCUGGGAGCUGCCAACAUCUUGGAGUCCAGGGUGUCAGAAAGAAAGAAGCUGGAUGAGCAAGUCACCUUCAGCAUGCUGAAGCUCAGAGUCUGAGCUGAGAUUUGAGCAGGAUGAGCUGAUGGAGGAGUGGGAGGAGGCAACACCGUCAGGGAGAGGAACAGCUGUUUGGUGGCAGAGGAGAAGAGCUGUUGCUCUGCCCGCAGCCCUGGGACCUGCCCGGCCUGUCCCGGGGUGCCGGCAGUGCGGGCUGUUCCCGAGGGCGCGGGGGCAGUGCCAGGCCGAGGACUUUGCUGCGGGUUCCGAGCGCUUGGCAGAUGGUUGGAGAGGCAGCAGAAGCAGAAGCCCUCUUGCUCUCUGGCCAGUUCCUGGAUGUGCUGUAGGCUUUGGUGGACUGGCUCUGCAGGGUGGGACCCCAGUUAGCUGAAGAUCAGCGUUUCACUGGUGGCCUGGAUCUGGUCCUGAACCUGCUGGAAGCUCACAAGGAGACUCACCCCUGGGAUGGCCAAAGCCUCCAAAAUCCCACCCAUGUCCAAGAAAACAGCCCCUGCCCCCCCAAGAGCUGCAGACCCUCCAAGACACUCGGGUACCCACACCCGCCUGGCUGAAAGAAAACUCCACCCCAGUCCAGUUUUUAACCCUGCUGUGCACGCUGGAUGGAUGUUUAUCCCAACGGGAGAAACUGUUGUUCAAAGUGAAAAAGAAAGCUUGUUACGAAGCUGCUUUAGCUCUUUGGGUUUCUGUAGGUUCUUACUUUCAUGUGAAUAUUGAUGUAGGUCAAAGUUGCCUCUUGGCGACCUCUGUUCAGAGAGUGGCCUGGAAAACUGAGGUGGGAGAAAGAAAGAACAAGAAAGGGAGAAAUAAAAAGGCAGCCAAAAAAGGUCAAGAUACAAAAGUGUAAUGAAAAACUAAAACAGAAACAGGAUUUCUCUGGGGUGCAGGGUGCAAACCUGCUUUAUCUUUUAGGCUUGUUUCCUCAUUGCUUCUUUUGAAACUUAACUUGCUGUCUCAGCAAGGUAAAUUCUAUUUAUAAACACCCUGGAGUGUUGAAGGAACUCUCUUUUUGUAAACCUCAGCUACCUCAGGCAGAGAAACAUGAGGUGAGGGGACUUAGGGGUUGUCUCCCAUUUUUGAACAGCUGCCUGGUUGUUCCUGAAGGAAUCAGAGUUUGAUGGAAUAAAACUUGCAGACACUGCA
This is a long non-coding RNA of Apus apus (common swift), 7240 nucleotides long. RefSeq lists it as uncharacterized. The transcript has 4 exons. The record is from RefSeq and is a predicted model, not a curated record. Lineage: Eukaryota; Metazoa; Chordata; Aves; Apodiformes; Apodidae.